AUGUCCAAGUCCAGGACCGUCUCUCUGCUGCUGGGUACAGUGGAAACGGAUACCUGCGAGGGCCCGAGAGCUGGGAGAUUAAGUUCUGAGCAUCCGCCAUUUGGACCAAAGACUUCCCCUAUUAGCGGUCCUCGAGGAGCAGUUGCGCAGCCUGGCACACAUUGUGCAGCUGCACUUCCCAUUGAUCUACUGGGCUGCCUGGAUGGCUGGCUGGAGGGAGAUAGAUUGGAGGGGAAACGGCUUAAUUGUCCUCACUCUCACUGCUGGAAUGCAAAUAGCCCACCACCACUGGCCUCCACUGUGAGGAAGCCCCACGUUGAGAAGGCAAGUUACUUUUUAUAGUGGCAAAGAAUUGAUAAUAUGUUUUUUAUCAGAGCACGUAGACUCACUGACGGAUUUGGUUCAAAUGAAUUUUGGUUCUAUAAAUAUAAAAAAUAAACCCAACGUACAGUUUUGCAUUGGAAUUUUUAUUUUCCCCGUUGAAUUUUGUUCCAAUAAAGAAAAAUGUCAGCCUCACAGAGUGCCUAUACCAUUCGUCAGUCAGAGGUCAAGCAGAUAGUCAGGUGAAGGGUCGUGACUCACGUAGGAAAGGCAGGAGAUGAAAGAGUUAAAACGCUGAGGCGUAUGUAUCCUGUCUGACUUUGAUCUCUGCCUCAGGUAGCCAUCAAUCUUGGCGAGGAGCUGAUGGGAGGCUGCUCCCUCGCAGAUCGGGCUUGCUCAGACUGAGACUGUCUCCUCACUUUGACAGACCGCUGGCAUGACACGCCAAACAAUCACAGCGCUACAUUUCCCCAACAAAUCCUCCGAGGUGUUUUUGUUUCAAUUUUCCACUUGGUCUGAUUUUUAUUCUCCGAUGUAUCGGUUCUAUUUUACUCUUUUUUUUCUUUUCUUUUUAAUUAAGAGAGAAGGAACCGGGUGCUGUACGAUAGGAAUGCGGGCAGGGAGGGGGCAGAGAGGGCAUGUUUUGGUGAGGUUCAAAGAUGAAAUGAGCGAGUCUCUGAGGCUUUGAUGUUUCUUGGCAGGCCCGAGACAGUCACUGACAAUCCGAUGAUCUGGGAGAACAACCUUUUUUGAAUCUCUGGCCCAUCCUGGCCCCAGUCGUCUAGCCCUCCAGUGACAAAAGCUUUAAUAUGACAAGGUUAAACACCUGAAGCACUGCGGCACAAUGGUCAGGACAAAGCUGGGGUCAGGGGUGCAACCUAAAUGCCAGGCACCUUAGAAGUUUACCAUGACUGUUCACUCAUUCAUGGAUGUUUUACACAGCAGUUCUCCUCUUUGUUCUUAAAUGGAUUCUUGGUGAGAAAAAAAGUUGAUGUUUAUUUGAACAGGAAUUGAAUCUGCUACUGUAUACUCAAUAUUUUACAUCAUAUAUACUUCUAUUUGAAAGGCGUAGCUUGUCAUGCCAAACCUUGAGAGAAUUGUGGCCUCUUUUAACAGGUUGUUUUCAUUUUCAGGCCAAUCUGGUUCAUUCCCACCGAGCAACGCGUAGUGUUCACACAAAAAAACUGCUCCGUACUAAGCGGCAGACAGACAAACGUAGUGACCAGUUUGUGAAGAAUAGUGCGACAUUUAGCCGCAAAAGAGUCAGACAGCAAUCUGUCAGGAGUUGGUAGAGACCAAAAGCAGAGCAAAAAAAUGGAUUAUUAGACUUAUAGUUUCAUCAGGCAGACUCUUGCAACUGUUUGAUAAAAAUGCUGUAAUAGUAUAAAUGGUGAUAAUUUGUCAUUACUAUAUUCACAACUAGCCAAAAAUAAAAACAACUAAUUAAUAAUUAUUAUAAUAAUAUAUUAUAUUGUGUGUAUGUAGUUAUUUCGAGGUAUUAAAAAGAGAUAAAUCCCAGGAAAGUUGGGACACUGAUUACUUUCAGUCCUUAUUUGUUAAAUUUCUGCUUUCUCCCUCCCAGCAAACUUCAACCAGCUGCCUCUUUUUUUUAAACGUUUGUGUUUAUGGUGCACUGACUGAGGAAUGUUCCCAUUUGCUCCCAUGCUCCAUGAUGUAAAAAAACCCCCACAUGAUACAUACAAUAGACAUAUCUUAAUAUCAGUUUGCUCUCUCAAAAUGUUUUCUUUGAGUGACGCUGUCAUUUGAUAGGCAGCGUAGUGCACUGCUCGGCGCUGCGGGGCCAUUGUGUCCUAUUUUAGUCACAAUGGAACUCAACACUUGACAGAGCCAGGGCUUGUUGUCAGGAGCUGAACUUGAUCCUGUCAAGUCUUCCCACUGGAGAGCUAUGAAGGAAGGGCUUUGACCUCACGGCUGUGCAAGCUCUACAUCAGGCCACAUAUUAAUGCGCUAUUCAAAGGAUAUUCAUAUAAUAUACUUGCCUGUACUUGUACAUGAACGUGUCAUUUUUCUUUUGUUCGUUUUUUAUCCUCACAAGACCCACUCACUGAUGUGAGAUAAUGGCGGGUGAUUGUGUGCCCACUGUUCUCCAGAGCUGUGCACCUUCCCAGACGGCCCCUCCUGCUGCCCAGGCCACCGAGGCUUGUCGUCCCCAUCACCUCUGGCAUUUCAAACUGACGCUUGCCUCGCACACUGUUGCCCUGCAGACCACAAAAGCUGGUUCACGUUACCCAGAGGGACAGGUAACUUCAGAUGGAUAAUCCUUGGACCUGGUGAACCUGUCCUUAAUAGGACCUACAGUCUAAGCUUGGCAACCCUGAGCCAUGUGCAUUGUGUGUUGAUUGGGUGUGCAUGUGUGACUCCCCUGGGCAAAUCACUGUCCGUUCUGCACUUCUCAUAUUGUUUUCUUGUCUAAACAUAUGCAGCCUGUUAAACCUGCUGGGCCUUUCUCAAGAGAUUGUGGGAACUGUGUGAAUUGCGUUUGAACAUUGUUUCUCGUGGCGGUUUAAUGACCUGCAUGUUGUCUCUGCCGUCCUCAUAUGUUUCCUCGCAGAGGGCCUGCGGUAGAUGUUCUUUGAUAGACUGCAGCAACGCAAAGUCAGAUUCCAUCUUCAGAUGUCUCCUUAGAGGUCGUUAAAAACAGACAGUUAACACACCCAGCAGCCCUACCAGCUCCCGAUGCCACUCCCCCAGCUGUUUUUGACCUCAGAUGAACUCAUGUGCCAUCCCGGCCACCAGGCCUGGCAGGAUUCUCACACUGGGAGCGAGACAACUGUCUCCCUCCCAGCCACUCCUCCAGCCACUGCCACCUUCUUGUCGCCCCACUGAUCCAUGCCAGCUUCCAGCUUUUGUUUUUCUACCCGCCCUCCCUUGGUACUGGGGGCAAGAUUUACAGUGGAAAAAUAUAGGACGUUUUCCCCCCAUGUUGAGCUGUUGAGUCUGGAAUGUGUGUUUGGGCAAGAUUUUGCAAGGAGUGUGAAAAAACAACAGCACUGUAAACACCGAGGGUAGAACCAGACUGGCUUCUUUGUUCCAGAUGUGCAGCAGGCACACACACACACAAACACACACACACACUAUUAGUGCAGCUCCUGCAGCCAAACAUGGGUCUGUAACCCAAUACACUGCCACUACUGUCCCACUGCUCGUCCAUCAGCUGGGCGCUCACUGCAUCCAUAUAGACAGGUUACUGUGCGAGUCGGCAGCACUUUGAAUGAGGGCAAACUGUGUGUGUGUGUGUGUGUGUGUGUGUGUAGAGUCAGAAUUGGUACCAAAUGCGGAUUUUGAGCCGCAACCAGACGACUGAGGAAGUUUAAAAAAAAAUAAAAAAUCAACAAUGUAUAAUUUAGACAUAUGACCGUAAAUGAAGCCAUUCAAAUCAGACGGGCCGCGUGACACCGG
Molecule: long non-coding RNA, 3741 nt
Organism: Scophthalmus maximus (turbot)
Lineage: Eukaryota; Metazoa; Chordata; Actinopteri; Pleuronectiformes; Scophthalmidae
Source: Ensembl